CGCACCUUGCGCUCCUUGGUAUUCCGAGGAGCAUGCCUGUUUGAGUGUCUUGAAGUCAUCAACCGCCCCCGUUUGAAACGCGGGGGACGGGUUGGAUCUGGGGGCGUGCCGCUGCAAAGCGGCUCCCUUCAAAUGCAUCGGUUGGACCUGUGGGUCGAACUCGACUGGGCGUUGUAGCAUCCUCGCUCUUCCGAGAGGUUCCCCUUUGGCGUCCUCCCACGACCUGCCUGCGGAGUGGCGGUCAACUUGCUCUGAAAUCUGACCUCAAAUCAGGUAGGACUACCCGCUGAACUUAA
This 296-nucleotide unclassified non-coding RNA is filed under the name Trechispora sp. RNAcentral's name for it is "partial contains 5.8S ribosomal RNA, internal transcribed spacer 2, and large subunit ribosomal RNA". The record is from RNAcentral. Lineage: Eukaryota; Fungi; Basidiomycota; Agaricomycetes; Trechisporales; Hydnodontaceae.